GGGGUUGUAGCUCAGUGGUAGAGCUCUUGCCUCGAAUGCAGAGACACUGGGUUUGAUCCUCAGCACCA
RNAcentral lists this transfer RNA (68 nucleotides) under Ictidomys tridecemlineatus (thirteen-lined ground squirrel). RNAcentral's name for it is "Spermophilus tridecemlineatus (thirteen-lined ground squirrel) tRNA". It matches the Rfam family "tRNA". Rfam says of the family: Transfer RNA (tRNA) molecules are approximately 80 nucleotides in length. Their secondary structure includes four short double-helical elements and three loops (D, anti-codon, and T loops). Further hydrogen bonds mediate the characteristic L-shaped molecular structure. tRNAs have two regions of fundamental functional importance: the anti-codon, which is responsible for specific mRNA codon recognition, and the 3' end, to which the tRNAs corresponding amino acid is attached (by aminoacyl-tRNA synthetases). tRNAs cope with the degeneracy of the genetic code in two manners: having more than one tRNA (with a specific anti-codon) for a particular amino acid; and 'wobble' base-pairing, i.e. permitting non-standard base-pairing at the 3rd anti-codon position. The record is from Rfam by way of RNAcentral. Lineage: Eukaryota; Metazoa; Chordata; Mammalia; Rodentia; Sciuridae.